Pipra filicauda (Wire-tailed manakin) is the source of this 557-nucleotide long non-coding RNA. RefSeq lists it as uncharacterized. The record is from RefSeq and is a predicted model, not a curated record. Lineage: Eukaryota; Metazoa; Chordata; Aves; Passeriformes; Pipridae. The transcript has 3 exons.
CAAAGAGAAUCCCUCCCAGCUCUGCUUGGACAAAACAAUUUGUCAGAUCCAGGGGGCCUAGGAGAGGGGACACACUUGGGCAGGAGCCAGGAGGAUCUUCUGCGCGGGGCUUCAGGGCACAAGCAUAUAUAGGAAUUUUGUUACCGAAAUCUGCAGUCAAAUUCAUUUCAGAAGCUCCCCAUUGUGCUCCUUUCCAUCAGAGAGGCAAACAAACCUGCCCAGCUCAGCGAGCCACUGCACUGCUUCCUGCUCGCCAUGACUAACACAGUAACACCAGAAGGAAGUUUAAAAUAAUUUUGUUAGCAUUUGGAGCACGAGACACACUGUGUUGCUAUGGAGUACAAGAAAAACCUGAAGUCAGUGCUGACUGGGACUGAAUAAUGGGAUUUCCAUUUCUAAGCUGAAGAAGCAGAUGAAUAGCAUGAAUAAACAAGCAAGUCAGAAAAAAACCAAACACUCAUCUUGUGGAUGAUCAUGGAAAAUAGGGAUGAAAAGGGAUCUCAAGAAGUCAUCUAUACCAUCCCACUCUCUACAGAUGGAUAAAUUUUAUCUCUGUC